RNAcentral lists this ribosomal RNA (253 nucleotides) under uncultured bacterium. RNAcentral's name for it is "partial 16S ribosomal RNA". It matches the Rfam family "Bacterial small subunit ribosomal RNA", at positions 524 to 776 of the family's 1533-position model. The record is from RNAcentral.
GACGUAGGGCGCGAGCGUUGUCCGGAUUUAUUGGGCGUAAAGAGCUCGUAGGCGGCUUGUCGCGUCGACUGUGAAAUCCCGCGGCUCAACCGCGGGUCUGCAGUCGAUACGGGCAGGCUAGAGUUCGGUAGGGGAGACUGGAAUUCCUGGUGUAGCGGUGAAAUGCGCAGAUAUCAGGAAGAACACCCGUGGCGAAGGCGGCUCUCUGGGACGGUACUGACGCUGAGACGCGAAAGCGUGGGGAGCGAACAGG